AUAGUUGUCCCUGAGCCAACUGGAAUUCUUCCCUUGAACGUUGUUGUGUGUAAGCAGGAGAAAUCAGCAGUCUGUCAUCAGUGGCAGAAGCUUUAAGACCUAAAAUCUGGAAGUUCUUGAAGACCAUAUUUCCUGCCAUGACAAGAAAACCAGGAUGCAGACAAUGAAAAUUAACAGAAUCGACAAAGAGAAACAGAAAGACAGAUUCCAAUGCCAUAUUUUUGACUGGGACAAGUAGGGGUAGAACUGGUUUUUCAGCCAGGUCUUUACUCCUUAUCAGUUGGAGCAGGCAGGAUGAGGAAGACAGCCCUAGAGUCCUCAUCUUAUCCACUGUCUUCUGACCUCACUGCAAAGCUUGCUACCACUCCACAUGUCAUCUUAUUUCUGCCAGGCCUGGGCCUUAUUUUCUACCCUUCUUUUCCACUCUCUGAGGAAAUCCCAGAAGCCAUUCAGCAGUGCAGCACAUUGGUUUCUACACAAAAAUGGAAGCUGGAAGCCAGUUGUCCUUCCUGGGAUCACAGCUACACCACUUUUCUCAGCAUAUUCUGCAGGAAAACGAAGAAAAGGAAAGAAAAGGACUGUAGUUCAAAAAAUGCCAAACAUGAGAGCAUGUGAUGAAAUACCCAUCUGCACUGUGGAAGUCUGACAUUUUGAUGCAUUGAGACCCAGGGGCUGUAGGUGCCUGAUCAAUACAUAUUCUUCGAAUAUGAGCUGAAUGAGUAAACGAAUGAAAUUGUAGAAGUCCUGGGUUCUGAACCUGAGCUUGUCUAAUACGCUAUGUUGUUGUCAGGAACAUCCCCUCUGGGAUUCUCUCUUCAUCUGAGAAAUGGAUGUAUUUCCUUUUUUUUACUUAAAUAAAUAAAAUAAUCAAAUGAGAUUGUGGAUGCAAGAAUCCAGCUACUGCAGUUGGUGCUUUACAAGGGAAAGGGAUGACCAUCAGUACUGCUGCGUACGUAUAUUCUUGGAGGGGUCCAGUUAAACAGUCUGACUAGCUAUGACAUUCAAGACACCACCCAAACAACAGAGGGGUUUCUCCAUCAUGUCUUCUGACACUGGAUCUCAAAGCAGAUGUGAACAGUUUGGAUUGCUUUUUCUGUAUAGGCAAGAUAAAGCAAAGUGUGAGAGACCAUCAAUGCCUAAAGACCUAUCAUUCUAGGAAGGCUCCCUGAAGUCCAUUAGGAGCCUGAGUUUUAUUAUUCUGUUAAUUAUCAGCUCCCAUGAUUUUAGCAGUUCUCUGACCCAAGGAAGGUUGGAAAUACAUCAGAAUAAGAUCUUUGUAGAACACCUAUCCACUCAUUUAUUAACUAAUUCACUCAUUCAGUGACAUUUUUGAGCUGCUGCUCUGUUUUGAUGAUAUGCUUCAUGAUAGAUUUUUAAACACCAGUCUCAAUAAACUUACAGUUGUGUUGGAAUAGAUAUUUAUUUUAAGUUACAUCUUCAUGGAACUCAUAAUAAAUUGGUAAUAUUUACAAUGUUAAGAAGGAUUCUGAGGUCACAGAAAGAAUGGCAAAAAUGUUAUAAUCUACUCACAGUAUUUCCAGUAGGUAUAGUAGGGGAAAGCAGCCAUAUAUUUGCUACACAUAAAUGAAUGUAAAAAGAAGGCAGUGUUCUUCAAUCUUAGGACUUAAUGUUACUGUAUUGAUAUAAUACUAGCUGCUCUCAAAAUAAUCCCCAAAAUGUAAUGGCAUAAACAUAAUAGAAGUCUACUUUCCACUCACAUAAAGUCUGAACCGGAUCUUCCUAACUGGCCAUUAGCUUGUCUCCAGGUGGUGAUUCGGGGAUUCAGGUUUCUUUUAUUUUGUGGCUCUGUGAUCUUUAACAUGCAAUUUCCAGGUGAUUGUGUUCUUCUGUAGGAAGGCAGCAGAAGGAAAAAGGAGGGGGAUUGCAGGCAACCCUGCUUCUCAAGUUCUUUGGUGAGAAAGAGUCACCCAGUACUUCUGCUCAUAUUCCAUUAGUGACGUUCCACAGCUCCACCUGGGUGCAGGGAGACAGGGAAACACAGCCCUGGCUGGGAAGCAGUUUCCUAGCAACCAGACACUACCUUUGGUGAAUAGGAAGCCAUCUCUUCACAGUAUCCUGAUUUCUCCCAAUCAUGCUUGCUUGAGCUCAUUUUUGUCUUUUCUUCAAUGAACUUGAACCUGACACCCUUUAUCCAGUCUAAAUCCCUGUAGAGAGAAACUGUCCUCAUUCAGCUUCUAAAACAGUCAUUUCUAAUUCCAUUCUGACUUGCUAUGGAACAAAACUCAGAGACAGAUCACACCUCUUCAUGUUCAGGGCUCUGCCAGGUGUUGUCAGGCGGGGCUGUUUAAGGAAAAAUACCCAGCGGAAUAGACAACCAUGAAGCUCCCUGUGACUUGGCCCCAGGGAGAAUGCAAGGACCUGAGCCUCUCUUCCUUGAGCCCUUUACUGCAACUGGACCUUUACAACUCAAUGUCUGAAGCUGUGGGACUGCUUAAAUAAACAUGCUAUUCUAACAGUGCCUAGCAGCCCAAUGCACAAUUCAUUUUACUGUGCCUUGCAAGCCAUAUAGAGCCUUUAUUGCAGAGGGCAGCAUCAGAUCUUUGUAUAAAUACUAGCAGAUAAUUUUAUAUAAUUUUGUUGACUGGUUAAGUGGUGUUUUUUCCUUUCCUUUUAAUUUAACCCCUGUGAUUGCUAAUUAUGAGGCUCCUCCUGAUUUCUCCAUCACUCUGUCCCAUGAAGCAUAAAGGAGAAUGACUGAGUGACCGAGUCAUCCCUACUGAUUCCUCUGGAGUUUCUCUCUCUAGCAGUUAACUCUAGUGUUUUUCUGGAGCAGGAAAAAGAAUGAAACUAGCGUCUGGACUCUGCUGCGGAAUUGCUACCCAGUCAAAGCCAGGAAUGCGUGUCUUCCUCCACUCUCUUUCACAGACUCUCCACUCCAGGGGAGCAGGCAGAAUGACUCAGUGGAAAGAGAAAGCCAGGACUGGGUUUAUAUCCAAGCUCCCUCUUUACUUGCUGUGUGACCUUGGCCAUUUGGCAACCUCUCUGAAUCUCAUUUACUCACUUAUAAAAUAGGAGUACUAAUUCCCACUUUUGGAGUUGUUGUAAGGUUGACUUGAGCUAAACCAGCACAGUACCUGUGGAACAUCAUGGGCUCAGGUGUCCAUUAGGGCACAGUGAUGAUAUUUCUUGUAACAAGAAACUCCUUAGCUGUGUGCCUUAAGACCAUCUAACUUAUUCCUCGCUUACUCAAAGUCCAGUGAGGGUGUUUCUGGUAGGGGAGCUCUUCAUAGUGACUAUCUUUCAGGGGGUGACUUGAGAAGUCAGCUUCUAUACUGUGUGUCUCCUCCUCC
Callithrix jacchus (white-tufted-ear marmoset) is the source of this 3311-nucleotide long non-coding RNA. RefSeq lists it as uncharacterized. The record is from RefSeq and is a predicted model, not a curated record. NCBI's taxonomy places the organism in Eukaryota, Metazoa, Chordata, Mammalia, Primates, Cebidae.